Cannabis sativa is the source of this 1702-nucleotide RNA transcript. It is a transcript of the gene named 2-oxoglutarate and iron-dependent oxygenase domain-containing protein CP2, with no coding region annotated. The transcript is spliced from 11 exons. The record is from RefSeq and is a predicted model, not a curated record. NCBI's taxonomy places the organism in Eukaryota, Viridiplantae, Streptophyta, Magnoliopsida, Rosales, Cannabaceae.
UCUCAAGUUCGAAUCCCCUCCUCAAAGACAAAUAAAAAACCAACCUUCUUAAUCAAACCUACCACGUAAGAAAUCCAAAUCGACCCAAUCAAAAUCCUCCACGUCAUCACCGGACCCCACAAGAAAAUCCAGCUAGACAUCUUGAGUGCCACUAUUACUAAACCAAACCAAAUACCAAAGCUUCUCAAUCAAACCCUAAUUCUCUUACAGAAAAUCAAAACUCAAAGAGCUUUGAAUUCUUCUCGAGCCAUGUCCGGAAUCGGAAACGAACAAGCUCCGUUCACCGCCAACGGAAACGGCGUCGUUUCAGGUCACGAAACCAUCAGGUUGAGAGUGAAGCCUAGUAAGGAUCACAAGCCGGACAGUUACGAAGACUUGCAACAACACCUGGAAUUCAGUCCCUUGCUCUUCAGCUCGCUCGAGCGGUAUCUUCCUCAGUCUAUGCUCAAUGACACUCGUGAAUCUAAGCUCGGGUAUAUGAGUACUAUCUUGCGUCGCUACUCGUCUAAUGGCGAACGUCUUCGUGUUCACAGGCAUAAAGAAUAUAAGCAGAAGAUAAUGGCGAAUUACCAGCCUCUACACAGGGAGCUAUAUGCAAUGCACGCCGAAAACUUCUUUGUACCUUCGUUUCUUAGAGCAAUUAGUGAAAAUACAGAGGAGAGUUUUAGGAGUAUGAUUAUUGAACCGUCUCAGGGAGUGUAUAUAUUUGAGAUGCUUCAACCGCGUUUUUGUGAACUAUUGUUUGAUGAGGUGGAAAAUUUUGAAAGAUGGGUUCAUGAUACUAAGUUCAGAAUCAUGCGGCCAAACACAAUGAAUAAAUAUGGUGCUGUCCUUGAUGACUUUGGAAUGGAGUCCAUGCUUGAUAAGCUAAUGAAUGAGUUUAUACGACCUAUGUCUAAAGUUUUCUUCUCUGAUGUUGGCGGAUCAUCAUUGGACUUGCAUCAUGGUUUUGUUGUCGAAUAUGGAAUGGACAGAGAUGUUGAACUUGGCUUCCAUGUAGAUGAUUCUGAAGUUACCUUGAAUGUUUGUUUGGGUAAGCAAUUUUCUGGUGGAGAAUUGUUUUUUCGAGGUGUCCGAUGUGAACAACAUGUCAACUCAGAGACCCAACCAGAGGAAAGCUUCGACUAUUCUCAUGUUCCUGGCCGUGCAGUUCUUCAUCGUGGUCGUCAUCGACAUGGUGCUAGAGCAACAACUUCAGGAAAUCGGAUUAACUUGAUUUUAUGGUGUAGAAGUUCGGGCUACAGAGAGCUGAAGAAAUAUCAAAAGGACGCUUGUUCAAGCUGGUGUGGAGAGUGCCAACGUCAGAAGAAAGAAAGGCAUCGUCGAACAAUUACAGAAACCAAAUUGGAAAUACUAAAGAGGAAUGGAAAGUUUACCGCUUAAUCUUGUUUCUGCAUUGCAAGUUUUGGUUAUGAAAUUUUGACAGGUUUUGCAAUGGUCUCUACUACCGGUGAUGAUGAGUGGUCCAUAUCCUUGUAAAAUCUUUUUCAAAAGUGAGAAUCUAUCUGUGAUUUGCAUUGUCUGCAACAUCUUUCAUUUUGAAUAAUUAAAAUAUAUUUAGGAAAAACCCCAACACAGAUUUGAUCUUGUCUGUUUGUAUAGAUUGUUGUUAUGUUUCACCAUGUGAAUUUGGGACUCGGAAAUGUAAUGGUCCCCUACUAUAAUUUCUUUGAUGCUCACCCUUACUCGGAGCUUAGCUUUU